Molecule: small nuclear RNA, 104 nt
Filed under: Meriones unguiculatus (Mongolian gerbil)
Lineage: Eukaryota; Metazoa; Chordata; Mammalia; Rodentia; Muridae
Source: RNAcentral
GUGCUCACUCCCACAGCACGUAUAACUAAAAUGAACGAUACAGAGAAGAUUAGCAUGGUCUAUGCAAAGAUGACAUGCAAAUUCGUGAAUCAUUUCCCCGAGGG